CCUCACCGCUCCAAGUCGAAGACGUGUGUUCUUCGCCUAGAAUCAUAUGCAUAUUUACGUUGCGCUGCGGAAAGCAACACGCAUCGACGUACGUACGUUUUACUCGCUUACUUUCACGAGGAAUGACUCAGGGGCUCUGCGCCCCUGCGAUGAUUGCGGUUUGAGAUCAGGGGUGUGAGGGGCGGUGCGAAAAGCGUGCUGAUUCUCGCAUACAUUGCGCAGGACGUCGGCGCCUUAGCGUUACGACCACCCCCUGACCGAUUCGGUCGUUGUUUGCUAGCUCCAUAUCGCGAACGUCCGCGUGGAGAGAAGACGGACGGAUCGCGUCGUUGUUUCGUUCUUUCGUAUGUGAAAAAGCACUCGCGUUUUUCUCUGAUUUAUUUUUAACUAAGUAAAAGGAAAAAGGUUUUCCCUUCGAUAGGAUCGAUCGAAGUUGCACAUCGAAAAUAUAUAAAUCUUAUGCAAGAAGGAAAUAAGAAGAAGUUGAAAAGAAUCGAAUUAAGAAGCAGUGUGCCUCUAUUCCCAUGAACCCGUGGUGAGGAGGAGUGGUGCUGGUGAUAGUGGUGGUGGUUGCGGUAAAACGUGUCCACGAACUCUUGCCCUCCUCCUCCUCCUUCUCCUCCUCCUUGACUCCCCCUAGGAGCCGGUACAACAGGACGUUAAGAGACGAGGGUGAACAAAAGGGUCGUUUUCUGGGUUCGUCAAUACUCGAACAAGAUUUUCUCAUUCUCGUCUGGUAUUUUUCAUAUUUCUUGGCUGGUGGAAUUGUGUGGCCGUAGUGAAACGUGUGCAGAUAUGCGCGUGCUAUCGAUCACGCGACCCGAUUGCGCGGAUAUGUGAUACCGGAAGUAGGUACGGCAGGCUUGACCUGCGUGCAGGUGCUCCACAGUGCGUGCCACGUAUGCGUACAUACAUAGGGGCGAGCAGCGACAGAGUAGAGAAGGGUGCGCGAGAAGAGGCCGCGUGUCAGGGCCAGUCGUGAAGAUGCACGCCACCGACGCCGUCGACGUGACGGCGUCCCUGCCGUCAUCCACGUCCUCCGUGGCCGCCUCGAGGAGCUUCGGGCAUGAAGUCAGGCUCGUCUUCGUCCUGCUCGUGUCCUGCUGGAUCGUCCAGGAUCGGCUAGUGCUCGGGAUGUCCGAGCCACCGGAGCUAACCACGAUUGAAGACUUAACCGACAGAGGGACGAAGAAGUUUGGCGAUGAUUGCGUGGAAGAUCGUGAAUGCAGUUUCUCUGGCUCUUAUUGCGAGCCAAAAAAGAACAAAUGUUCGUGCAGGGAGGAAUUCGAGGCGACGAAUCAUAUCGACAAAUGUGGACACCCGGUGAACGUGAACGAGUCAUGCUUUUUCCAUGAGCAAUGUGAAGCGAGAGUGAGUCAAACCGAAUGCAGGGACAAUCGUUGCAUUUGCAUCUUCGAGAAGAUCCCGGUUACGCAGCCUGACGGCAUGAUUGUGUGUGUCGCUGAGCAAAAAGAAGAACCCAAUCUUCAAUAUAUCGAUCCGACGAUGAUUGGUGUUCUCGUUGGUAUGGCCCUCAUGUUCAUCAUCAUCUGCGUCGUUCUUAGGCUUUUCAGCAAAGCUCGUUGGCGCGAAAAUCGUACAAUUUUUAACACCCCGAACGCCCGUCUAAUGAACGUAUCGUUACUAAGAGAGAAUAAGCUCCUGCAUCCGCAGGAAAGACGCGGUUCAAGGGCAAGCGUACGAGUUCCUUCGAGGCAACCCUCGAUGGCCUCCUUACGUGCCCAUUCGCCGAAUGCCUCGCAAGGUGCGAAACACUCUCAGCACUCACAGCACAGAGUGAGCCUCGAUCAUCUAUAGCAGUAGUCUGUUUAAUGAUCCCGUCUGUGACCGUUGUUCUUGAUUAUCUUAUAUACUGCGGAUUAUAUACUACGGACCUAUGAGGUGCUCUAUUGUAAAAAACUUUUCAAAUUGACGCGUCCUUCGAAGAGGGGUCACGAACAGGAUCACGACGGGGAAGUCGCGGUAGCAGUGGGAAUGCGUCAGCCGUCUCAACGAAAUCGAACAAAUCGCCACCUAAUCAGCCAAAUACCAUGUCUGAAACUAUUCAUUCGGAAAAUGUCACCGUUGAAAUUCUCGAGGCUAAAGCGUAGAUCCACUGGAAAUCCACGGCCAUCGUUGCUACGCCUUUCUCUUUCCAAUGACGGUUGUGAAGUCGCCCUAAAGAAAGAAUCGUCUAGACGUCUUCAAAGCAACUUUACGCAAUCUCUUUUUCAGAAUGUACAAAUUUCUAUUCACAUAAAUCCCUUUUCUCUUUUUUAUUCGAAAAGAUUCGCUCGUCUUACGUCUACUACUUUGGUACAAAGAAUUUUUCUGAUUGACAUGCGUUUACAUAUAACUUAUCCGGCCAUUUGUUAUCAUUAUCGAUUAUAAAUCAAAGUUUAAUGUGAAGAAAAUAGAUUAUGCCAGAAAUACUUAGUUUGAGAAUUUUAGGAAAUAAGAGAAAUUAUAUUAUAAUUCGUACUGAUUGUAAGAUAAUCACUGUUUAAUUUUUAUGUUUAAAAGAUGUUAAAUUCGAUAAAGAAUUAACGGAUAUAUUCGCGAUAUUGAUAUUAAAAUCAAACAAACAUAUUUUAUGUCACGAAAAGAAUCUAAUAUUCGAAAUAUUUUACACAAAAAAAAAAUAGAUAAUCACUUUAUAUCGAAAAA
Unclassified non-coding RNA from Apis florea (little honeybee), 2667 nucleotides. The record is from RefSeq and is a predicted model, not a curated record. NCBI's taxonomy places the organism in Eukaryota, Metazoa, Arthropoda, Insecta, Hymenoptera, Apidae.